AGAGUUUGAUCCUGGCUCAGAUUGAACGCUGGCGGCAUGCCUAACACAUGCAAGUCGAACGGAAACGAUGGAAGCUUGCUUCCAGGCGUCGAGUGGCGGACGGGUGAGUAAUACUUAGGAAUCUGCCCAUUAGUGGGGGACAACUCGGGGAAACUCGAGCUAAUACCGCAUACGCCCUACGGGGGAAAGCGGGGGAUCUUCGGACCUCGCGCUAAUGGAUGAGCCUAAGUCGGAUUAGCUUGUUGGUGAGGUAAUGGCUCACCAAGGCGACGAUCCGUAGCUGGUCUGAGAGGACGAUCAGCCACACUGGGACUGAGACACGGCCCAGACUCCUACGGGAGGCAGCAGUGGGGAAUAUUGGACAAUGGGCGCAAGCCUGAUCCAGCAAUGCCGCGUGCGUGAAGAAGGCCUGCGGGUUGUAAAGCACUUUCAGUAGAGAAGAAAAGCUUAAGGAUAAUACCCUUGAGUCUUGACGUAACCUACAGAAGAAGCUCCGCUAACU
Molecule: ribosomal RNA, 502 nt
Filed under: uncultured bacterium
Lineage: Bacteria
Description: bacterial SSU rRNA
Rfam family: Bacterial small subunit ribosomal RNA
Source: RNAcentral